This 359-nucleotide long non-coding RNA is filed under the name Helianthus annuus (common sunflower). Its description in RNAcentral is "sRNA HanXRQr2_Chr07g0282751". The record is from RNAcentral. Lineage: Eukaryota; Viridiplantae; Streptophyta; Magnoliopsida; Asterales; Asteraceae.
GCCCCUUCACCCUCAUAUCCCACUUUCAAAGUUCCAUUAACAUCUCAAAAUUCACUAAAUAUAGCCUUUUCAAGAUCAUCCAUCCAUGGUUUAGACAUGAAGGGUCAUUAGGAGCUUAAUCUCUUUUAUUCUUCUUGUUUAAACACUUGCAACAUUGUUGUGAUACAAUUCAAGGACAAUGCAAGUGAGGAGAUGAUGCAUAGGACUUAUCAAGACAUACUUAGGCGGACCUGUGCCUUAGUGACUUAAAACGAGACAAGAACUAGUUAAUUUAUGUUAUGUAUUCUUUGGUUCUUGUUUAAGACAAUGUAAACUUUCAUGUUUGAUUAAUAAAACGAAACUUCGUUUACCAUGGAUUU